GCGGUGGAUGAUGUGGAUUAAUUCGAUGCAACGCGAAAAACCUUACCUACCCUUGACAUGUCCGGAAUCCCGAAGAGAUUUGGGAGUGCUCGCAAGAGAACCGGAACACAGGUGCUGCAUGGCUGUCGUCAGCUCGUGUCGUGAGAUGUUGGGUUAAGUCCCGCAACGAGCGCAACCCUUGUCAUUAGUUGCCAUCAUUUGGUUGGGCACUUUAAUGAGACUGCCGGUGACAAACCGGAGGAAGGUGGGGAUGACGUCAAGUCCUCACGGCCCUUAUGGGUAGGGCUUCACACGUCAUACGAUGGUCGGUACAGAGGGUUGCCAACCCGCGAGGGGAGCUAAUCCCACAAAGCCGAUCGUAGUCCGGAUCGCAGUCUGCAACUCGACUGCGUGAAGUCGGAAUCGCUAGUAAUCGUGGAUCAGCAUGUCACGGUGAAUACGUUCCCGGGUCUU
This 453-nucleotide ribosomal RNA is filed under the name uncultured Rhodocyclaceae bacterium. Its description in RNAcentral is "bacterial SSU rRNA". It matches the Rfam family "Bacterial small subunit ribosomal RNA", at positions 929 to 1382 of the family's 1533-position model. The record is from RNAcentral. Lineage: Bacteria; Pseudomonadati; Pseudomonadota; Betaproteobacteria; Rhodocyclales; Rhodocyclaceae.